UCUCCUCGAGGGGUCUCUGCCUCUACCCAGGACUCUUUGAUGACCAGGAGGCUGAGGCCCCUCACAGGCGGC
This is a microRNA precursor of Aotus nancymaae (Ma's night monkey), 72 nucleotides long. Ensembl annotates it as microRNA 665. Its record names the gene MIR665. The record is from Ensembl. Lineage: Eukaryota; Metazoa; Chordata; Mammalia; Primates; Aotidae.